AUUUCUAUAGUUGAAUAACAACGGUGGUUUUUCAUAUCAUCAGUCAUGGUUAAAUUCCAUGUGGAAAUA
This 69-nucleotide transfer RNA is filed under the name Spilogale angustifrons. RNAcentral describes it as "tRNA-Glu". It matches the Rfam family "tRNA". From Rfam's summary of the family: Transfer RNA (tRNA) molecules are approximately 80 nucleotides in length. Lineage: Eukaryota; Metazoa; Chordata; Mammalia; Carnivora; Mephitidae. The record is from RNAcentral.